UACGUAGGGUGCGAGCGUUGUCCGGAUUUAUUGGGCGUAAAGAGCUCGUAGGCGGCUUGUUGCGUCGACUGUGAAAACCCGCGGCUUAACUGCGGGCUUGCAGUUGAUACGGGCAGGCUAGAGUUCGGUAGGGGAGACUGGAAUUCCUGGUGUAGCGGUGAAAUGCGCAGAUAUCAGGAGGAACACCGAUGGCGAAGGCAGGUCUCUGGGCCACUACUGACGCUGAGAAGCGAAAGCAUGGGGAGCGAACAGG
This 253-nucleotide ribosomal RNA is filed under the name uncultured bacterium. Its description in RNAcentral is "partial 16S ribosomal RNA". It matches the Rfam family "Bacterial small subunit ribosomal RNA", at positions 524 to 776 of the family's 1533-position model. The record is from RNAcentral.